GCCUGAUGAGACACUCGCUGGCACCAGUCCUAGAAAGACUUGUACUCUUUUUGCUGCGGAUUAGCAUGCCGCAAGGUCCUUAUACGAGGAAUUCCUUGCCUGAU
Diplodia corticola is the source of this 104-nucleotide non-coding RNA. The record is from Rfam. NCBI's taxonomy places the organism in Eukaryota, Fungi, Ascomycota, Dothideomycetes, Botryosphaeriales, Botryosphaeriaceae.